AUUGCACAGCAGUAACCAGGCCCCCCUUCCUUCACCCCCACAGUGUUAGUGGAGGCCUUCCUACCCUAACCAGGCAGGGAUACACCAGUGAAGCCUAGUGGGGACAUGAAUACCCAUCUCCACCUAGGAGUAACAAGAAGCCUCCACCCCUUGAGUGUCAGCAGGGUCCAAGUGGGAGAAACUGGACUUCUACCUCCACUGGGCAAUACUGAGGCAGCACCCCAUUCUUCCCCUGCUGGAGUGGUGUCAAAGAAAACCAGCUAAAACAGAAGUCUAAGUAAGACCCAGAGUCAUAUAGCAUAACAUCCAACAUGUCCAGGUUUCAACUGAGAAUCACUCAACAUCCCAAGAACCAGGAAGACCUCAAACUGAAUGAAUAAAAGACAAUUAUGAUUAAAGGCACAGCAGGGAAUUGAAACAUUCAUCUUGCCAAUAGGAUUAGGUAAUUAGGCAGCAACUGAUCAGCUACCAUAGCUGGACUACUGCUGGGCACCAGAAGUCAGAAACAGCUCUUAGAAGACAUGCCAACAUAGCUGCUCCCUCCCUCAUCAAACUUGUCAGUAAGGCUUCAUUAAUUUCCUCUCCAUUCCUGGAGUGGGAUGGUUGAAUCAGAGUGGGACUGUGUGUGUCUGGAAGUGACCUCAACUUAAUCAGACCUCAACUCAAUCAACUAGGAAACUUCUAGGGCCGGGCAACCUACUCCAGUCCCAGUUCUUGUAGUAAUUUGACCAUAGUGAAUCCACAACUGGGUUCAUUUAAUACUCCAAAAUUCAUGGUUUGACCACAGUUUUAUUUUGGUGGUGACUAAACUAACCCCACCUCCGGGAGAUGAACUGACAGUACCUCUGGGCAUCCUAAGCAUGCUCUGGAUAAAACAACAGUCACCAUCAAGGAGAUAACAUCAUGCAGGACAGCUGGGAGGUUGAUGCUGAUGUGCACAGCAGAUAUGAAGUAGGCACCGUCAAGGGCAAGGUGAAGGGGCCCUGGCAGUGCCUAACACAGAUGUGUUUUGAGGAAUGUCUUCUCAGUCAUAAAACAGGCACCUGGCAUUAUAGAUGACAGAUUCAUAUACAAAACAAAUGGGUACAUAAAUGCUCUCUGAGGCUGGCCUCAUUAUCGAGGAUUUAAACUAAGUGAGAUGAACAGAUGUUUACAACAUUUUACUUUCCACAGUUUCCGC
Molecule: long non-coding RNA, 1180 nt
Filed under: Pan troglodytes (chimpanzee)
Lineage: Eukaryota; Metazoa; Chordata; Mammalia; Primates; Hominidae
Description: long non-coding RNA NONPTRT003776
Source: RNAcentral